RNAcentral lists this ribosomal RNA (624 nucleotides) under Clostridioides difficile. RNAcentral's name for it is "bacterial SSU rRNA". It matches the Rfam family "Bacterial small subunit ribosomal RNA", at positions 173 to 816 of the family's 1533-position model. The record is from RNAcentral. Lineage: Bacteria; Bacillati; Bacillota; Clostridia; Peptostreptococcales; Peptostreptococcaceae.
AUAAUAUAUUUGAGAGGCAUCUCUUGAAUAUCAAAGGUGAGCCAGUACAGGAUGGACCCGCGUCUGAUUAGCUAGUUGGUAAGGUAACGGCUUACCAAGGCGACGAUCAGUAGCCGACCUGAGAGGGUGAUCGGCCACAUUGGAACUGAGACACGGUCCAAACUCCUACGGGAGGCAGCAGUGGGGAAUAUUGCACAAUGGGCGAAAGCCUGAUGCAGCAACGCCGCGUGAGUGAUGAAGGCCUUCGGGUCGUAAAACUCUGUCCUCAAGGAAGAUAAUGACGGUACUUGAGGAGGAAGCCCCGGCUAACUACGUGCCAGCAGCCGCGGUAAUACGUAGGGGGCUAGCGUUAUCCGGAUUUACUGGGCGUAAAGGGUGCGUAGGCGGUCUUUCAAGUCAGGAGUGAAAGGCUACGGCUCAACCGUAGUAAGCUCUUGAAACUGGGAGACUUGAGUGCAGGAGAGGAGAGUGGAAUUCCUAGUGUAGCGGUGAAAUGCGUAGAUAUUAGGAGGAACACCAGUUGCGAAGGCGGCUCUCUGGACUGUAACUGACGCUGAGGCACGAAAGCGUGGGGAGCAAACAGGAUUAGAUACCCUGGUAGUCCACGCUGUAAACGAUGAGUAC